GGGUGACAGGGAGACAGGUGGUGCAUGGUUGUCGUCAGCUCGUGUCGUGAGAUGUUGGGUUAAGUCCCGCAACGAGCGCAACCCCUACGUUUAGUUGCUAACGCGUGAAGGCGAGCACUCUAGACGAACUGCCGUUGACAAAACGGAGGAAGGUGGGAUGACGUCAAAUCAUCAUGCCCCUUAUGUUCUGGGCUACACACGUGCUACAAUGGCCGGUACAGACGGACGCAAAGCCGCGAGGUGGAGCAAAUCCUAAAAAGCCGGUCUCAGUUCGGAUUGCAGGCUGCAAUUCGCCUGCAUGAAGUCGGAAUCGCUAGUAAUCGCAGGUCAGCAUACUGCGGUGAAUACGUUCCCGGGCCUU
RNAcentral lists this ribosomal RNA (361 nucleotides) under uncultured Pelotomaculum sp. RNAcentral describes it as "bacterial SSU rRNA". It matches the Rfam family "Bacterial small subunit ribosomal RNA", at positions 1021 to 1382 of the family's 1533-position model. The record is from RNAcentral. Lineage: Bacteria; Bacillati; Bacillota; Clostridia; Eubacteriales; Desulfotomaculaceae.